This 225-nucleotide long non-coding RNA is filed under the name Phoenix dactylifera (date palm). RNAcentral describes it as "long non-coding RNA (PDAC_LNC005012)". Lineage: Eukaryota; Viridiplantae; Streptophyta; Magnoliopsida; Arecales; Arecaceae. The record is from RNAcentral.
UCCAGGUUUCCUUUUAUAGAAGGAUUUUUGUUACCUGGGAGGUGAUAGGAGGUUUGUCCUUUUGUGUGAUAAUUGGGCACGAUUUGGCCCAUUAAUGGCGUAGUGGAAAACGGGACCGAAUCGGACCGGAAUCAGGGAGUUGUCACGGUCGAUCGGACCUGUUGGAGUGGUUGAACCGCCGGCUAUGGUGGGCCUGGGGUCCGUGGAUGGUAAGUGCAUUUAUUA